GAAUGAAAGUGGAGGUUGAGGAUAAAUUUACCAUGUCAAGAGUGUGGGACUUGUAGAAUACCAUUGGAUCUGACUCUUCUCACUGAGGAGAUUAGUAGAAGGGUACAUAUUAAUGGCUACAUUUGUAAGUCUCGAGGACAUGCCAAGGUUCUCAUCUUUAGAGAUGUGAUUUACAUGGAGUUGGUUGUACACAUCACAUCCUUAAUGAUGUGAUUCACCUCAAUACACUCAAUUGACAUUUUGCAUGGUUACCCUAAUUGACAAUUUUUUUGGGCAAUGACACAUUUUUUGUGCUCUGCACAAUGUGAAACACACAAAGAAGCUAUGUAACAGAGGACUCUCUAUUUUCUAAAGAGGAGCUAUGUAAGAAAGGGCACUCCCAUCUCAUUUCACGGAUGCCCCAUGGGUCAAUGCAAAACUUGUCCCAAGUUGAUGACCUUAUGCUGCAUCAAGCCUCCAUGGCCCUAAGGCUUGAAAAAUUACAGAGAGAUUGGUGAGGAAUAGGAGAGAGGCAGGUACCGCAUAAUCAAAUGCAGUGAGGUGCAAAGAAGUAAGAAGGCUGGCUUGGGGUGGGGAAGAUUAGGGGGAACGAACUGGAGCCUUCUCAGCAAGAUUUGGUGAAAAGGAAAGCGACUUCUGGAGUGUGGUUGGCAACAAUGGGAAGGAGAAUGGUGGGUGGUAUGAAAGUGGGGAAACUGCUUGGGAGUGUAGAGGAAAAGCAUUCAAAAUGGUGGGAUUUACAUGGAGAAAAUUUUGGGAGAUCUUCAAGGAAGGACUGAUCUUUUAAAAGUGAAAACAGAGACAAGGUGAGAUUUUGGAAGAUGUGAGUGAGUAAUGAAGCACUCGCAUGGAGCAGCUCCAUAAAAGGCUCACUGGGUGAGGAAGCUUGAAAAAUUGCAGAGCGACCUUUAUUUGGGAAUGAAGAGGAGAGAGACAAGUUCCAUGGUCUUAGUCUUAGUCUUAGUCUUUGUAGAGUGUUGUCCUUAAAAGGGGUCAUUGGUUGAGGAUUGCUGCAAAGUCUUGGGAGGCAAACUAAUGGUGUAACUUCACUUUUAAAAUACAUACUUAAAGAGGAUGUAUAAGUGGGGCCUUUCACUCUCUUGUUGGGUUC
Long non-coding RNA from Magnolia sinica, 1111 nucleotides. RefSeq lists it as uncharacterized. The transcript has 2 exons. Lineage: Eukaryota; Viridiplantae; Streptophyta; Magnoliopsida; Magnoliales; Magnoliaceae. The record is from RefSeq and is a predicted model, not a curated record.